GGAGAUAGCUGGUUCUCUCCGAAAUAGCUUUAGGGCUAGCCUCAAGUGAUGAUUAUUGGAGGUAGAGCACUGUUUGGACGAGGGGCCCCUCUCGGGUUACCGAAUUCAGACAAACUCCGAAUGCCAAUUAAUUUAACUUGGGAGUCAGAACAUGGGUGAUAAGGUCCGUGUUCGAAAGGGAAACAGCCCAGACCACCAGCUAAGGUCCCAAAAUAUAUGUUAAGUGGAAAAGGAUGUGGCGUUGCCCAGACAACUAGGAUGUUGGCUUAGAAGCAGCCAUCAUUUAAAGAGUGCGUAAUAGCUCACUAGUCGAGUGACACUGCGCCGAAAAUGUACCGGGGCUAAACAUAUUACCGAAGCUGUGGAUUGUCCUUUGGACAAUGGUAGGAGAGCGUUCUAAGGGCGUUGAAGCAUGAUCGUAAGGACAUGUGGAGCGCUUAGAAGUGAGAAUGCCGGUGUGAGUAGCGAAAGACGGGUGAGAAUCCCGUCCACCGAUUGACUAAGGUUUCCAGAGGAAGGCUCGUCCGCUCUGGGUUAGUCGGGUCCUAAGCUGAGGCCGACAGGCGUAGGCGAUGGAUAACAGGUUGAUAUUCCUGUACCACCUAUAAUCGUUUUAAUCGAUGGGGGGACGCAGUAGGAUAGGCGAAGCGUGCGAUUGGAUUGCACGUCUAAGCAGUAAGGCUGAGUAUUAGGCA
Molecule: ribosomal RNA, 695 nt
Filed under: Staphylococcus aureus
Lineage: Bacteria; Bacillati; Bacillota; Bacilli; Caryophanales; Staphylococcaceae
Description: partial 23S ribosomal RNA
Rfam family: Bacterial large subunit ribosomal RNA
Source: RNAcentral